This 1007-nucleotide long non-coding RNA is filed under the name Capsicum annuum. RNAcentral describes it as "long non-coding RNA (CANN_LNC015049)". The record is from RNAcentral. Lineage: Eukaryota; Viridiplantae; Streptophyta; Magnoliopsida; Solanales; Solanaceae.
UCAACUUAUAAGCUCCAACAACUUCAAUCAUUUACAAUAUAGUACAUUUUACCAGCUUUUUCUUUUUUUCACUUCUCUUUCCUAGUAAAAGGACUAUAUUCACAUUGGCUCUCAUAUUUAUCGAGGUGGUCGCAACUAGUUUUGGUCAAGAGGGUUCAUCUGAAUCGCCUUUUGUGCAACAAGGUCGGGCCAAAAUAACUUUUUGUGUGUGUGUGUUUUCAUAUUUUCUUGAAAUUCUAUAGUAGUGUUAAAGGCGGUUCAGUAUUUACUUUUAAGUCACUUGAGCGGUAAAAGACAGUUCAAGAUUUACUUUAGGUCGCAGGUUCAAAUUUCAAGUACUGUAGCGGUAAAAGGUGGUUCAAGAUUUACUACAAGUCAUAGUAGGUUUGACCUUCUUUGACUUAAGGGAAGCUUCUAUUGUAGUGGUAAAAAGCGGUUCAAGAUUUAUUUUAGAUCGCAAAUUCAAAUUUCAGGUGUGACAUUUAUUGCAUUAUUAUUUCAACUUUCUUUUUUUUUUUUCCUCCAAAACUCCACACUUAGUAUCAUCUAGAAAUAUAGAUAAAAAUCGACAUGAUUCAACAUGCUCGUGAGCUUUCAAAUAUCUUCACGCAUCACUUCUGUCUCUCCUAAAGUAGCCACUCAUUUCUGUGUCAUGUCAACGUCCUUCACCUGUCAAAAUUUCUGACUUCGCUAAUAACCUUUGAUAAAUAUGGCAACUUCCUUCACCUGUCAAAAUUUGUAACUUCGCUACUGACCUUUGAUAAAUAUGGCAACUUCCUUCACCUGUCAGAAUUUCUAACUUCGCUACUGACCUUUGGUAAAUAUAGCAACUUCCUUCACCUGUCAAAAUUUCUGACUUCGCUACUGACCUCAGUAGUUAUGACUCACUCAUGCAUGGUGGCAAAUGUAGUUGUAACUUUUAAGUAUCAUCAAAUUAUCUCAAGUGUGACAUUCUUGUAAUUUUAUUUUUUUUAAAUCGUCUUGUUAGAAUUUCUGGCUUUCGAUGG